RNAcentral lists this ribosomal RNA (703 nucleotides) under Pantoea sp. RNAcentral's name for it is "bacterial SSU rRNA". It matches the Rfam family "Bacterial small subunit ribosomal RNA", at positions 784 to 1487 of the family's 1533-position model. The record is from RNAcentral. Lineage: Bacteria; Pseudomonadati; Pseudomonadota; Gammaproteobacteria; Enterobacterales; Erwiniaceae.
ACCCUGGUAGUCCACGCCGUAAACGAUGUCGACUUGGAGGUUGUUCCCUUGAGGAGUGGCUUCCGGAGCUAACGCGUUAAGUCGACCGCCUGGGGAGUACGGCCGCAAGGUUAAAACUCAAAUGAAUUGACGGGGGCCCGCACAAGCGGUGGAGCAUGUGGUUUAAUUCGAUGCAACGCGAAGAACCUUACCUACUCUUGACAUCCAGAGAACUUAGCAGAGAUGCUUUGGUGCCUUCGGGAACUCUGAGACAGGUGCUGCAUGGCUGUCGUCAGCUCGUGUUGUGAAAUGUUGGGUUAAGUCCCGCAACGAGCGCAACCCUUAUCCUUUGUUGCCAGCGAUUCGGUCGGGAACUCAAAGGAGACUGCCGGUGAUAAACCGGAGGAAGGUGGGGAUGACGUCAAGUCAUCAUGGCCCUUACGAGUAGGGCUACACACGUGCUACAAUGGCGCAUACAAAGAGAAGCGACCUCGCGAGAGCAAGCGGACCUCAUAAAGUGCGUCGUAGUCCGGAUCGGAGUCUGCAACUCGACUCCGUGAAGUCGGAAUCGCUAGUAAUCGUGGAUCAGAAUGCCACGGUGAAUACGUUCCCGGGCCUUGUACACACCGCCCGUCACACCAUGGGAGUGGGUUGCAAAAGAAGUAGGUAGCUUAACCUUCGGGAGGGCGCUUACCACUUUGUGAUUCAUGACUGGGGUGAAGUC